UGCCAGCCAAAGGAGGGCCUUGUUUCCCAGGAAGAGACUUCGCAUCAUUCUGACCUGUCUGAUGACCUUGCCUGAUAGACCGGAGAAGCCUAGACAAUGAUGGGAGCUGAUCAGCACACAGCUCAGUUUUUCCACCAGACCCUCGGAACCAGCUGCUGUCGUUUGUCAGGCUCUGUUCUGCUGACAUCUCUCAGACACAGGAUCCCACUACUGUGACUACUGUGACCCUUUAAGUUCUUUGGUCUAUGCUGAACUCAAAAUAACCACAAAGACUCAUUCUGACUUAGUGAUUUUAUUUUUCUGAUCCAGCUAACUGGUGCUGUGCAUUGAAUCAGUGAAGAAGAAUUAAGUCUGGAAUCCACACAGGUUUUAUUUAUGAAGGCUAACAGUCUGACUAGUUGAGGCCUUGAUUAAAUACAGGGAUACUGUUACCAGUCCAUGGGCACUGGUAUGUAACCAUCAUGAAGAAACUGUGUAACUGCCCCAUCCCCAGCACUACCAAACAGAAUUCCACCUGAGCUGCAGCAGUUCACCCUGUAUAUUACAAAGAGGAGAGCCAUGUGCAGAUGGAUCUCGGAAGUUGUCCUGGGACCAGACGCAGAUGGUGUAAGUUGUGCAUCUUUCCAUUACAGCAAUGAAUUGAACUGCACUCCUAUCUUCUGAGGCCAACUUUCAAGAAUCAAAAUAACUUGCAUAUGUUUAUUGCUGCCCUUUGAAGAAAAUGUGUGGUGAAAAAUAAUUUAAAAUAAGGACCAGCAUCUCUGAGGCUAACCUGAUGCUUACUGCGAUUAAAAUACUUAAAAUUCACUG
Molecule: long non-coding RNA, 810 nt
Organism: Mastomys coucha (southern multimammate mouse)
Lineage: Eukaryota; Metazoa; Chordata; Mammalia; Rodentia; Muridae
Exons: 3
Source: RefSeq, a predicted model, not a curated record